Molecule: ribosomal RNA, 253 nt
Filed under: uncultured Blautia sp.
Lineage: Bacteria; Bacillati; Bacillota; Clostridia; Lachnospirales; Lachnospiraceae
Description: partial 16S ribosomal RNA
Rfam family: Bacterial small subunit ribosomal RNA
Source: RNAcentral
UACGUAGGGGGCAAGCGUUAUCCGGAUUUACUGGGUGUAAAGGGAGCGUAGACGGCGAUGCAAGCCAGAUGUGAAAGCCCGGGGCUCAACCCCGGGACUGCAUUUGGAACUGUGCUGCUAGAGUGUCGGAGAGGCAGGCGGAAUUCCUAGUGUAGCGGUGAAAUGCGUAGAUAUUAGGAGGAACACCAGAGGCGAAGGCGGCUAACUGGACUGUAACUGACGCUGAGGCACGAAAGUGUGGGGAGCAAACAGG